ACCUAGCUAAACUAAAAAAUAAACAAAAACUUAAAUCUACCUUCUUACUCGAUAACUAUUCUUGAAUUUUGCUCAGGCUCUUUGUUUAAAUUUUUAUAUGGAUCCCACGUGUGGAGAUUGAUAUACAGUCUUGCCUAACAAACAAAUAUCUUGAUAAUCUCUAUUAAACUCCAUGAUAAAUCUUAAAAAGAUGAAUAAAUUUCUAUUUUUCAUUAUACACCAUGCUAAUAACCCAAGAAUAGGCUAAGGAACCUUGGCCCAUGGCGGCCGCUCUUUUAAUUUGCCUAUUUGAUAAUUGAGGCCAUCUCUUAACUUCCCUUUCAAUUUAAAGCGAGGCAAAGCCGGAAAGUAGCGGGAAAAUUUUACAACCCAACCCCAUUUUAUUUCUCUUUCUUCUCCUUUGCAACCAAAAAGCAGGAAAAAGAAGGGAGAGAAAAGAAAAUGGAAGAAUCGAAAUCCAAAGAGAAAAUUUGUUGGAGAAAAGAAGUAGAUCAGAACUUAAAGCGGCUCCAAUCACUGCUCUUCGGCGCCGAGCUGUGUCUCGAGAAGCGGGAAUUCCCGGAGGCUCAGCUCCUCUUGCUUAGGCUUCUCGGCUUCCUCGAUUCCGUCUCUCACUCUGAAGUCGAUCGGACCUUCACACGUCCCAUUCGUGACGACGUUGUCUCUAAGCUCGACUCGGCUCGCCGUGCCCUGGUCCAAGAAUCUGAUCGCCGAGCAUUUGAGCAAGCAGGUAAAGCUCCUGGUUGUGUUUUUGGGAUGAAAGGAGGUAUUGAUAUCGACAAAAUCAAGCAAUCAAAGUAUUUCUGUACACAGCUUCAGCAAUCUAAGGGAAAGGUUCUAAAUGAAUUGGGAGGACAACAAGAUAAGUUUAUUAGCAAGCCGUCUAAAGCUAUGACACAGGCCAAGUUGACAUCUCUGUAUGGAAACAAAAUUACAAGAGCAAAUAAUUGCUCAUACAAAAGUUCUUUGGACUCCAAAAAUAACAGUUCCAAAGACUGUUUUAUAGUGGAAAAGGGCCAUUCUUAUCACAGCUUUCCUAGGGGACAUAGUGUUUCAAACUUUACCAAAGUUGAAGAGGAAGAAAGAGUACAUGGAAAUAGCUUUGGGGCAAAGCGUGCAUAUAAAGAAAUCGGUAGCCCCAGAAACAACACUGCAAGGUCACCGCCAAGCAAUGAAGAAGUCAAUGCUGAUGUUUCGGGGAAUGCUUUUGUAACAGCAAGAGCAAAACUGGAAAUGGAUGUGAAACAAAAACGAGGGCUGGCUGGUUCUCCAAGUGCUUCUGUCUCCCCACAGAAUGAUAUCAAUUUCAGUUCUAGAGGUUAUGGUACAAAAUCCUAUGGGGUUUUGCGACGUGGAGUUCGUGGUAAUUUUGUACCCCCCAUAAGAUCUAAUGGUGGCAGUGUUGGAAAUGUGACAUCACGGAUUGGUGGAAAGAGUGAUGAUGCAUUAGAUGACACAACAAGGACAUGUUUGGAACUUCUUUGUGGUCCUGAUGGUGAACUUCCAGAAAAACUAAGGAAUUUGGAACCUCGCCUUAUAGAGCACGUCAGCAAUGAGAUCAUGGAUCGAGACCCAAACGUCCGAUGGGAAGAUAUAGCUGGCUUGGAGCAUGCCAAAAAAUGUGUGACAGAGAUGGUAAUAUGGCCUUUAUUACGUCCUGACAUAUUUAGAGGCUGUCGCUCUCCAGGAAGAGGUCUUCUUCUCUUCGGUCCCCCAGGAACAGGCAAAACAAUGAUUGGAAAAGCUAUAGCUGGUGAAGCAAAAGCCACAUUUUUCUACAUAUCUGCUAGUUCAUUGACAAGCAAGUGGAUUGGAGAGGGUGAAAAGCUAGUGAGGGCGCUUUUUGGAGUGGCCAGUUGUCUUCAGCCUGCUGUUAUUUUUGUUGAUGAAAUAGAUUCACUUCUAUCUCAGCGUAAGUCAGAAGGUGAGCAUGAAUCAAGUAGAAGACUCAAGACACAGUUCCUCAUUGAAAUGGAAGGCUUUGAUAGUGGCAGUGAGCAGAUUCUUCUUAUAGGAGCAACAAAUAGACCUCAAGAACUAGAUGAAGCAGCAAGGAGACGACUUACCAAGAGACUCUACAUUCCCCUUCCUUCAUCAGAAGCAAGAGCCUGGAUUGUUCGCAAUCUGUUGGAGAAGGAUGGACUAUUCAAGCUCUCAGAAGAGGAUAUCAGUGCCAUAUGCAGGUUAACUGAAGGCUACUCAGGAUCUGAUAUGAAAAACUUAGUAAAAGAUGCAUCUAUGGGACCUCUUAGAGAGGCUCUAAGACAAGGCAUAGAAAUUACACAGCUGAAGAAAGAGGAUAUGCGGCCAGUAACCCUUCAGGAUUUCGAGAAUGCAUUACAAGAGGUAAGGCCCUCAGUUUCUAUGAACGAAUUGGGUACAUAUGAAGAAUGGAACAAACAAUUUGGAAGCUUAUCACUCUAAUGAUUGAACAAGGAAACAAAAGAAAACGGAGAAUGUUUGGUAGAGAAAGAACUACGAUAGGAAGUUAAUCAAAGGAGAGGAGAAAUAGAUAAGGUUAAUCUUAAAGAAUCAGUUCAGGUGACUUAAAUAGUUCCAAACACUCGUGCAUGUGAUGAAGCAUUCUGACUAGGAAUUGAAGAUAAUUAUCUAUGUUCAGCUUCUACAGUCACAAACUUGUCCCCUGAAGGAUAACCACAUGAUUUUGAUAAA
RNA transcript from Gossypium arboreum, 2673 nucleotides. It is a transcript of the gene named ATPase family AAA domain-containing protein FIGL1, with no coding region annotated. The record is from RefSeq and is a predicted model, not a curated record. The transcript has 14 exons. NCBI's taxonomy places the organism in Eukaryota, Viridiplantae, Streptophyta, Magnoliopsida, Malvales, Malvaceae.